GACAGAGGAUGCAAACGUUGCUCGGAAUUACUGGGCGUAAAGCGCGUGUAGGCGGGAAGAUAAGUCGGGUGUGAAAUCCCUGGGCUCAACCUAGGAACUGCAUCCGAAACUGCCUUUCUGGAGUGAUGGAGAGGAAAGCGGAAUUCCCGGUGUAGAGGUGAAAUUCGUAGAUAUCGGGAGGAACACCAGUGGCGAAGGCGGCUUUCUGGCCAUCAACUGACGCUGAGACGCGAAAGCGUGGGGAGCAAACAGG
RNAcentral lists this ribosomal RNA (253 nucleotides) under uncultured bacterium. Its description in RNAcentral is "partial 16S ribosomal RNA". It matches the Rfam family "Bacterial small subunit ribosomal RNA", at positions 524 to 776 of the family's 1533-position model. The record is from RNAcentral.